AUCUUGUGAGUCUUCGAACAGCGGGAGGUGGCAAACGUUGGCAGAACUGGGGCUGUUUCCUCCUUCGCACUUKGUUUUAAAACAAGUUGGGGCCUUGCGACUUCCCAAGAAAAUCCCGGCAAAUUUGCUACGAGUUGCUUGGGCCGCGACUUUUGAGAAGUAUUUUAACCCCAGCCGCUGAAGUCGUGGGGGAGUUCSUUUUCUCCGCGGGGCCGCGGUGCUCUCAGCCCGGGUGAGGCUGGCGCGCGGGUGGGAGGCCCGGGACGCGCUCUGGCGAUCACUGGGGCAGAGCAAGUUGCUCCAGGGGUGACUGCACUGGCCUGGGCGCGGGAGAGGGGGGCACUUGUCCUGCAAAGCUGCGUUUCAAUCCAGUCAUCUUUCCUCUUGUCUCCUGGUCUGACCCCGCAGUCCGCCACUGCCCGCGCUGGAGCACCGCGCCCUUGGCCACGGGAGCCCAAGUAAAAGGCUAGAUUCGAGGCAGCGGGCGGAGCCGGGACCAACGGGGCGGUGACUGAGCGGCGGGCCCCGCCCGGCCCCGCCCGCCGCACUCGGGCGCCUCUCUCAAGCCCGGCGGGACCAAGGGACUGACCGACCGACGCGGGCCACCCCGCUCUCCUCGCCGCCAAAGGCGGCGGGCGCGGGGCGGCGCGGAGAGGCCUGAUCCCUGCAGCACUGGCGCGCAGCGUUGCAGAGCRGAGCAAGCCAGACGCACCAGGACUCCUGCAGGAUAGUGCCUGCUGUAAAGCAUCUCUGGGUGAAUGAAAAAGAAAGAAGCUCAUGAUUUCUACACAUGACCCAGGAGCACCUUGGCUGAGGAUUCUGCGUCUUGCCAAUCUGUGAGAGUGGUUUCCCAGMGGRUGCUUGGCUUGUACAACCAGAGAACAGGAUUCUUCUCUUCUUUCUGGCCACUCAAUGCCUAUGUGCACUCCACGUUCCAAAGAGGGAAGAAGGGCGAAGCUUCUUGGAUGACAAUGGACGUUCUACUGUGCAGGAUGAGGGCAGAGUGUGUGACAUCGCCACCACAAGGGCUCCAACAGUCUGACUUCUUUUCGAGCGCCACACUCUCUUCCUGGAGCAGAGAUCAGAGAUGA
RNAcentral lists this long non-coding RNA (1091 nucleotides) under Urocitellus parryii (Arctic ground squirrel). Its description in RNAcentral is "lncRNA (ENSUPAG00010009553.1)". The record is from RNAcentral. Lineage: Eukaryota; Metazoa; Chordata; Mammalia; Rodentia; Sciuridae.